CGAGUCCAACUCAAGACAAAGACCAGAAGUGGGUUGAGUCUGAGUCAAGACAGAGACCAGAAGAGGGUUGAGUCUGAGUGAAGACAGAGACCAGAAGAGGGUUGAGUCUGAGUGAGGACAGAGACCAGAAGAUGGCUGAAUCCUAGUCAAGACAGAGACGACAAGAGGGCCGAGUCCAACUCAAGACAAAGACCAGAAGUGGGUUGAGUCUGAGUCAAGACAGAGACCAGAAGAGGGUUGAGUCUGAGUGAAGACAGGAACCAGAAGAGGGCUGAAUCCUAGUCAAAACAGAGACCAGAAGACCAGUCAAAUCAGUGCAGAGUCUGAAUCAACACCAAGACCAGAAGCGGGCCCAG
This is a long non-coding RNA of Carassius carassius (crucian carp), 356 nucleotides long. RefSeq lists it as uncharacterized. Lineage: Eukaryota; Metazoa; Chordata; Actinopteri; Cypriniformes; Cyprinidae. The record is from RefSeq and is a predicted model, not a curated record. The transcript has 2 exons.